Molecule: long non-coding RNA, 222 nt
Filed under: Solanum tuberosum (potato)
Lineage: Eukaryota; Viridiplantae; Streptophyta; Magnoliopsida; Solanales; Solanaceae
Description: long non-coding RNA (STUB_LNC000517)
Source: RNAcentral
AACCGCUACCUCUCAAGUAAGUCUGGAAGCUCUAAUCUGAAGAUGAGUAAUAAGCCGGAUCUGAUAGAGCUGUCAACCUACACAACUGUGUAGAAGCAAGGGUGAGUACCAAAAGCAACAGGUACUCGCAAGUAACACAAAACUAAGCUAAACUAGCAGCUACAAACAACUCCUUCCAAUCCCAACCGAACCACCGAAGCUUCAUUCUAACAGCGAACCAAC